RNAcentral lists this ribosomal RNA (250 nucleotides) under uncultured bacterium. RNAcentral's name for it is "partial 16S ribosomal RNA". It matches the Rfam family "Bacterial small subunit ribosomal RNA", at positions 525 to 774 of the family's 1533-position model. The record is from RNAcentral.
ACAGAGGGUGCAAGCGUUGUUCGGAAUUAUUGGGCGUAAAGCGCACGUAGGCGGCGCAACAAGUCGGGUGUGAAAGCCCGGGGCUCAACCCCGGAACGGCGCCCGAAACUGUUGUGCUUGAGUUCCGGAGAGGGUGGUGGAAUUCCUGGUGUAGAGGUGAAAUUCGUAGAUAUCAGGAGGAACACCCGUGGCGAAGGCGACCACCUGGACGGUGACUGACGCUGAGGUGCGAAAGCGUGGGGAGCAAACA